Molecule: long non-coding RNA, 262 nt
Filed under: Vigna radiata
Lineage: Eukaryota; Viridiplantae; Streptophyta; Magnoliopsida; Fabales; Fabaceae
Description: long non-coding RNA (VRAD_LNC004037)
Source: RNAcentral
UCUUCUUGAAAUUCAAUUCUCCUCCCUUUUUCUUGUUUACCAGGUGCAUAUUUAUAUACACACAUUUGUAAUAUUAUUGUGAUCUUGCCUUAAUGGCGAAUUAAUUGUCAAUUAGAAAAAUAGGGAAAUAAAUGAUCUUGAUUGAAGAAAAAUAAAUCAAAUUAAAAUCAUAUUUUUCUCUUUAGGAAGAAAUUGAAUACAACAAUCAAUAUAUUAUUUUUAAUUAUUUCUUGUAAUCAUUGCCAUAAUGUUGAUUCAAAUU